GCGCACCAGGCGAGAAUCCUUCGCAAUGCAGGAAACUGCGACGAGGGAACUCCAAGUGCCUACGCUCAGCGUAGGCUGUUCUCAAGCCUAGAAAGCUUGAGGAGUAAGGGCUGGGUAAGACGGGUGCCAUCUGUGGUAGCAGUCAAUAGAUUCGAUUUGUUACUGCAAGGCAUAAGCCGCCGCGGUAAUACCCGCAGCCCAAGUGGUGGCCGCUUUUAUGGGCCUAAAGCGUCCGUAGCCGGCCCGGUAAAUGCCUGGGUAAAUCGUGGAGCCCAACUUCACGAAUUCCGGGUAGACUGCCGAGCUCGGGACCGGAAGAGGGAGAGGGUACUUCAGGGGUAGGGGUGAAAAUUUCCUUCCAUUAACGCUUUGCGCGAAGCGGAAAGGGUUAUCA
Molecule: ribosomal RNA, 394 nt
Filed under: uncultured microorganism
Description: bacterial SSU rRNA
Rfam family: Archaeal small subunit ribosomal RNA
Source: RNAcentral